Long non-coding RNA from Herpailurus yagouaroundi (jaguarundi), 246 nucleotides. RefSeq lists it as uncharacterized. The transcript is spliced from 3 exons. Lineage: Eukaryota; Metazoa; Chordata; Mammalia; Carnivora; Felidae. The record is from RefSeq and is a predicted model, not a curated record.
CAGCCCCGUGUCCCUUGACCAAGCUGGCUAGGUAUAUAGUUCAGUAGAGGGGGUACUGAGCUGGGCCCUGGGUCACGUGGACACGAGUCUCCCUGAUUUCUUCCACCUCCCUUUCAGAAUACCCGCGAGCCGGGGGAUAUUAUUAAGUAACGUUGAAUUUGCUGGAAUUAGCAUACUAGACCUGAAGAGUGAGCUUCGGGUUGGCUCAUGAGGUUUUCCCACCACAAACAAAGGCCACAAUGGCUU